AAAAAAAGCAGCAACUGAUACAGUAAAAAGUAUAAAAAAGAUAAGAAAGGACUAAGGGGAAACCAUAAGAAUAAUAAAUUACAGAGCUAGGCUGAUAUACUAUUGGUAGCAUGAAGGUCUCCGUACUACCAAAUUGUUUUUAAUGAUGCGGCUUUCAAAUCGACGAUCGGCUCUGUUAGACUUGAUCUACACUAUUGAAAGUAUUUGAAAACUAAAUUCAUAAUUUUUCGAUAUCAUUUGGCUAGUGAUCUAAAGAUCUCAAAAUUGAUAAUUUUAAUGGUAGAUGUGAUACAUUUGUGAAUUUAACGGUGUAAAAUAAUUCAAAUCUGAUGAAAUUUUUAUAAAAAAAUCUUUUCACUAUUUAGAGUAAGAUCAAUACUUCUGAUCUUAAAUUCAAGUCUUUUAUCAUCAAUUUUUAUAAGAUUUUGCGUCAAGCUUUUUUUUCCCUCUUAGACCAAUGAAGGCUUCCUUUUUAGACCAAUGAAGGCUCUAGAGAGAAAAAUGAGAGGAGCGGCAAGCAACGAGAGAGGAGAGGCUGAGAAAGGGUGUCAGGUGGAGUUAAUAAGCAAACUUCUUCUUAAUGAGGGAAGAGAGAGAGGGAAGAAGAAGAAGGUAGUGAAACGGAUUGCUUGGGCGGAUGAGGUAGGUAGAGAGUUAAUACAGGUUAGCAGAUACCAUGAUGAGCUUGAGGGGACUUUACCUGCUUUCGGCAAAAUCCAUAAUCGAGAUCAAAAGUGAGGCGUUAAUGGCGGUCAGCGUUGGGGUAUAUCUCGGGUUUCAUCAGGUGAUGGUAGGAGGGGGGGUAGGAUCAGAGGGGAAGAAGGAGUUGCCAGCG
This 835-nucleotide long non-coding RNA is filed under the name Ananas comosus (pineapple). RNAcentral describes it as "long non-coding RNA (ACOM_LNC016322)". Lineage: Eukaryota; Viridiplantae; Streptophyta; Magnoliopsida; Poales; Bromeliaceae. The record is from RNAcentral.